RNAcentral lists this ribosomal RNA (253 nucleotides) under uncultured bacterium. RNAcentral describes it as "partial 16S ribosomal RNA". It matches the Rfam family "Bacterial small subunit ribosomal RNA", at positions 524 to 776 of the family's 1533-position model. The record is from RNAcentral.
UACGGAGGGGACUAGCGUUGUUCGAAAUUACUGGGCGUAAAGCGCACGUAGGCGGAUCCUUAAGUCAGGGGUGAAAUCCCGAGGCUCAACCUCGGAACUGCCUUUGAUACUGGGGAUAUCGAGUCCGGGAGAGGUGAGUGGAACUGCGAGUGUAGAGGUGAAAUUCGUAGAUAUUCGCAAGAACACCAGUGGCGAAGGCGGCUCACUGGCCCGGUACUGACGCUGAGGUGCGAAAGCGUGGGGAGCAAACAGG